UCGANCGGUCUUUUCGGAGACAGUGGCGGACGGGUGAGUAACGCGUAAGAAUCUACCUUCAGGUCGGGGACAACCACUGGAAACGGUGGCUAAUACCGGAUGUGCCGAGAGGUGAAAGGCUUGCUGCCUGAAGAAGAGCUUGCGUCUGAUUAGCUAGUUGGUAGUGUAAGAGACUACCAAGGCGACNAUCAGUAGCUGGNCUGANAGGAUGAUCAGCCACACUGGGACUGAGACACGGNCCANACUCCUACGGGAGGCANCANUGGGGAAUUUUCCGCANUGGGCGAAAGCCUGACGGAGCAAUACCGCGUGAGGGAGGAAGGCUCUUGGGUUGUAAACCUCUUUUCUCAGGGAAGAACAGAAUGACGGUACCUGAGGAAUAAGCAUCGGCUAACUCCGUGCCAGCAGCCGCGGUAAUACGGAGGAUGCAAGCGUUAUCCGGAAUGAUUGGGCGUAAAGAGUCCGUAGGUGGCAUUGAAAGUCUGCUGUUAAAGAGUCUAGCUCAACUAGAUNANAGCAGUGGAAACUACAAAGCUAGAGUUUGGUCGGGGCAGAAGGAAUUCCUGGUGUANCGGUGAANUGCGUANAUNUCAGGAAGAACACCGGUGGCGAAGGCGUUCUGCUAGGCCGAGACUGACACUGAGGGACGAAAGCUAGGGGAGCGAAUGGGAUUAGAUACCCCAGUAGUCCUAGCCGUAAACGAUGGAUACUAGGCGUANCUCGUAUCGACCCGAGCUGUGCCGGAGCUAACGCGUUAAGUAUCCCGCCUGGGGAGUACGCAGGCAACUGUGAAACUCAAAGGAAUUGACGGGGGCCCGCNCAAGCGGUGGAGUAUGUGGUUUAAUUCGAUGCNACGCGAAGAACCUUACCAAGGCUUGACAUGUCACGAAUCCUGUAGAAANAUANGAG
This 909-nucleotide ribosomal RNA is filed under the name uncultured bacterium. RNAcentral describes it as "partial 16S ribosomal RNA". It matches the Rfam family "Bacterial small subunit ribosomal RNA", at positions 62 to 1014 of the family's 1533-position model. The record is from RNAcentral.